UGGGCUAUAGCCAAGCGGUAAGGCAACGGACUUUGACUCCGUCAUGCGAUGGUUCGAAUCCAUCUAGCCCAGCCA
This 75-nucleotide transfer RNA is filed under the name Fictibacillus barbaricus. Its description in RNAcentral is "tRNA-Gln". It matches the Rfam family "tRNA". From Rfam's summary of the family: Transfer RNA (tRNA) molecules are approximately 80 nucleotides in length. Their secondary structure includes four short double-helical elements and three loops (D, anti-codon, and T loops). Further hydrogen bonds mediate the characteristic L-shaped molecular structure. tRNAs have two regions of fundamental functional importance: the anti-codon, which is responsible for specific mRNA codon recognition, and the 3' end, to which the tRNAs corresponding amino acid is attached (by aminoacyl-tRNA synthetases). tRNAs cope with the degeneracy of the genetic code in two manners: having more than one tRNA (with a specific anti-codon) for a particular amino acid; and 'wobble' base-pairing, i.e. permitting non-standard base-pairing at the 3rd anti-codon position. The record is from RNAcentral. Lineage: Bacteria; Bacillati; Bacillota; Bacilli; Caryophanales; Fictibacillaceae. RNAcentral also lists the same sequence under 3 other names.